GUGGGGAAUAUUGGACAAUGGGCGAAAGCCUGAUCCAGCCAUGCCGCGUGUGUGAAGAAGGUCUUCGGAUUGUAAAGCACUUUAAGUUGGGAGGAAGGGCAGUAAGCUAAUACCUUGCUGUUUUGACGUUACCGACAGAAUAAGCACCGGCUAACUCUGUGCCAGCAGCCGCGGUAAUACAGAGGGUGCAAGCGUUAAUCGGAAUUACUGGGCGUAAAGCGCGCGUAGGUGGUUCGUUAAGUUGGAUGUGAAAUCCCCGGGCUCAACCUGGGAACUGCAUCCAAAACUGGCGAGCUAGAGUAGGGCAGAGGGUGGUGGAAUUUCCUGUGUAGCGGUGAAAUGCGUAGAUAUAGGAAGGAACACCAGUGGCGAAGGCGACCACCUGGGCUCAUACUGACACUGAGGUGCGAAAGCGUGGGGAGCAAACAGGAUUAGAAACCCUAGUAGUCC
Molecule: ribosomal RNA, 450 nt
Filed under: uncultured bacterium
Lineage: Bacteria
Description: bacterial SSU rRNA
Rfam family: Bacterial small subunit ribosomal RNA
Source: RNAcentral